Molecule: ribosomal RNA, 402 nt
Filed under: uncultured bacterium
Lineage: Bacteria
Description: bacterial SSU rRNA
Rfam family: Bacterial small subunit ribosomal RNA
Source: RNAcentral
UGGGGAAUCUUGCACAAUGGGGGCAACCCUGAUGCAGCGACGCCGCGUGAGCGAUGAAGCCCUUCGGGGCGUAAAGCUCUUUCGACCGGAACGAUAAUGACGGUACCGGGAGAAGAAGCUGCGGCUAACUACGUGCCAGCAGCCGCGGUAAUACGUAGGCAGCAAGCGUUGUUCGGAGUUACUGGGCGUAAAGCGUACGUAGGCGGAUGCGCAAGUUGGGGGUGAAAUCCCGGGGCUUAACCUCGGAAUUGCCCUCAAAACUGCACGUCUUGAGACCGAGAGAGGUAAGGGGAAUUCCUAGUGUAGAGGUGAAAUUCGUAGAUAUUAGGAAGAACACCAGUGGCGAAGGCGCCUUACUGGCUCGGUACUGACGCUGAGGUACGAAAGCGUGGGGAGCAAACA